UACACUCCUGCGGGAGGCAGCAGUGGGGAAUUUUGGCCAAUGGGCGAAAGCCUGAUCCAGCAAUGCCGCGUGUGUGAAGAAGGCCUUCGGGUUGUAAAGCACUUUUGUCCGGAAAGAAAUCCUUGGCUCUAAUACAGUCGAGGGAUGACGGUACCGGAAGAAUAAGCACCGGCUAACUACGUGCCAGCAGCCGCGGUAAUACGUAGGGUGCGAGCGUUAAUCGGAAUUACUGGGCGUAAAGCGUGCGCAGGCGGUUUGCUAAGACCGAUGUGAAAUCCCCGGGCUCAACCUGGGAACUGCAUUGGUGACUGGCAGGCUAGAGUAUGGCAGAGGGGGGUAGAAUUCCACGUGUAGCAGUGAAAUGCGUAGAGAUGUGGAGGAAUACCGAUGGCGAAGGCAGCCCCCUGGGCCAAUACUGACGCUCAUGCACGAAAGCGUGGGGAGCAAACAGGAUUAGAUACCCCUGUAGUCCC
RNAcentral lists this ribosomal RNA (473 nucleotides) under uncultured organism. RNAcentral describes it as "partial 16S ribosomal RNA". It matches the Rfam family "Bacterial small subunit ribosomal RNA", at positions 332 to 797 of the family's 1533-position model. The record is from RNAcentral.